CUUAUGAUGGCGACCGGCGCACGGGUGCGUAACGCGUAUGCAACCUACCUUUUACAGGGGCAUAACACUGAGAAAUUGGUACUAAUUCCCCAUAAUAUCUGAGACGGCAUCGUUUUGGGUUGAAAACUCCGGUGGUAAAAGAUGGGCAUGCGUUGUAUUAGCUAGUUGGUGAGGUAACGGCUCACCAAGGCGGCGAUACAUAGGGGGACUGAGAGGUUAACCCCCCACAUUGGUACUGAGACACGGACCAAACUCCUACGGAAGGCAGCAG
This 271-nucleotide ribosomal RNA is filed under the name uncultured bacterium. Its description in RNAcentral is "partial 16S ribosomal RNA". It matches the Rfam family "Bacterial small subunit ribosomal RNA", at positions 78 to 354 of the family's 1533-position model. The record is from RNAcentral.